UGGCUCUUUCCCCUUUUCAGCUAGCAAGCCGCACCAUUCUAAACUGGAGCCCAGGCAUCCUUGGCGGCGAAGCCAAAUAACCUCGUCACAAACUUCGAGGCUUUUCGCAUAAAAAAAAAAACAAAAAGAAUACCAAGUUACAAGCCAACUAUUCCGCGACCAGGAAGGAUAAAAGGCAACCAGGAUAUCUUAUACGGGAUAGCGGCCGGUUGUUUUCGCGCCGGUUCGCGGUGAUCCGGUCCGUUGGAGGGUGAGGAACCGCGCGGUCAAAGCGGUGGACAUCGCGCUCGGAUACCGGGUUCGGCACGUAACCGUUUUAUGC
This 322-nucleotide long non-coding RNA is filed under the name Elaeis guineensis (African oil palm). RNAcentral describes it as "long non-coding RNA (EGUI_LNC008037)". Lineage: Eukaryota; Viridiplantae; Streptophyta; Magnoliopsida; Arecales; Arecaceae. The record is from RNAcentral.